Molecule: ribosomal RNA, 508 nt
Filed under: uncultured Actinomycetes bacterium
Lineage: Bacteria; Bacillati; Actinomycetota; Actinomycetes
Description: bacterial SSU rRNA
Rfam family: Bacterial small subunit ribosomal RNA
Source: RNAcentral
AGCGGCGAACGGGUGAGGAACACGUGAGGAAUCUGCCUUCUACUCUGGGAUAACUCCGGGAAACCGGGGCUAAUACCGGAUAUGAAACUUGGUGGCAUCACCGAGUUUGGAAAGUUUUUCGGUAGAAGAUGACCUCGCGGCCUAUCAGCUUGUUGGUGAGGUAAUGGCUCACCAAUGCGACGACGGGUAGCCGGCCUGAGAGGGCGACCGGCCACACUGGGACUGAGACACGGCCCAGACUCCUACGGGAGGCAGCAGUGGGGAAUAUUGGGCAAUGGAGGAAACUCUGACCCAGCGACGCCGCGUGCGGGAUGAAGGCCUUCGGGUUGUAAACCGCUUUCAGCAGGGAAGAAGCGAAAGUGACGGUACCUGCAGAAGAAGCACCGGCUAACUAUGUGCCAGCAGACGCGGUAAUACAUAGGGUGCAAGCGUUGUCCGGAAUUAUUGGGCGUAAAGAGCUCGUAAGUGGUUCGUUACGUCGGAUGUGAAACUCUGGGGCUCAACCCUG